Molecule: ribosomal RNA, 1485 nt
Filed under: Triticum aestivum (bread wheat)
Lineage: Eukaryota; Viridiplantae; Streptophyta; Magnoliopsida; Poales; Poaceae
Description: partial small subunit ribosomal RNA
Source: RNAcentral
AUGGUGCCGCGCGAGCAUGGGGACGAGGCCAUCGUGGCGGACGGGCACGGCAAGGAGGAGGAGGUCGGGGUGAUGGGCGUGAGCAGCGGCGGCGCGGACGGCGACGAGGAGCAGCACGGCGGCGGCGGCGGCAAGUUCAGCGUCGCCAGCUUCCUCUGGCACGGCGGCUCCGUGUGGGACGCCUGGUUCAGCUGCGCCUCCAACCAGGUGGCGCAGGUGCUGCUGACGCUGCCCUACUCCUUCUCGCAGCUGGGGAUGCUCUCGGGCAUCCUGCUGCAGCUCUUCUACGGCUUCCUCGGCAGCUGGACCGCCUACCUCAUCAGCGUCCUCUACGUCGAGUACCGCUCCCGCAAGGAGAAGGAGGGCGUCAGCUUCAAGAACCACGUCAUCCAGUGGUUCGAGGUGCUGGACGGGCUGCUGGGCCCGUACUGGAAGGCGGCCGGGCUGGCCUUCAACUGCACCUUCCUCCUCUUCGGCACGGUCAUCCAGCUCAUCGCCUGCGCCAGUAACAUCUACUACAUCAACGACCGGCUGGACAAGCGGACGUGGACGUACAUCUUCGGCGCCUGCUGCGCCACCACCGUCUUCAUCCCGUCCUUCCACAACUACCGGAUCUGGUCCUUCCUGGGCCUGGGCAUGACCACCUACACGGCCUGGUACCUGGCCAUCGCCGCGCUCAUCAACGGCCAGGUGGAGGGCGUCACCCACACCGGCCCCAACAAGCUCGUCCUCUACUUCACCGGCGCCACCAACAUCCUCUACACCUUCGGCGGCCACGCCGUCACCGUGGAGAUCAUGCACGCGAUGUGGAAGCCGGCCAAGUUCAAGUACAUCUACCUGCUGGCGACGCUGUACGUGUUCACGCUGACGCUGCCGUCGGCGUCGGCCAUGUACUGGGCGUACGGGGACGAGCUGCUGGCGCACGCCAACGCCUUCUCGCUGCUGCCCAAGACGGCGUGGCGGGACGCGGCGGUGAUCCUCAUGCUCAUCCACCAGUUCAUCACCUUCGGCUUCGCCUGCACGCCGCUCUACUUCGUGUGGGAGAAGGUGAUCGGCAUGCACGACACCAAGAGCGUCUGCCUCCGCGCCCUCGCCAGGCUCCCCAUCGUCGUCCCCAUCUGGUUCCUCGCCAUCAUCUUCCCCUUCUUCGGCCCCAUCAACUCCGCCGUCGGCGCCCUCCUCGUCAGCUUCACCGUCUACAUCAUCCCCGCCCUCGCCCACAUGCUCACCUACCGAUCCGCAUCCGCCCGCGCCAACGCGGCGGAGAAGCCGCCCUUCUUCCUGCCGAGCUGGACGGGGAUGUUCGUGCUCAACGCCUUCAUCGUGGUGUGGGUGUUCGUGGUCGGCUUCGGGCUGGGAGGCUGGGCCAGCAUGGUCAACUUCAUCCGCCAGAUCAACACCUUCGGCCUCUUCGCCAAGUGCUACCAGUGCCCCAAGCCCGGCGGCGCCGCCGUCGCCCCGGGCCCCUCGGCGUUGCACCACUAG